GACGAACGCUGGCGGCGUGCUUAACACAUGCAAGUCGAACGGAAAGGCCCUGCUUUUGUGGGGUGCUCGCGUGGCGCACGGGUGAGUAACACGUGAGUAACCUGCCCUUGACUUUGGGAUAACUUCAGGAAACUGGGGCUAAUACCGGCUAGGAGCUCCUGCUGCAUGGUGGGGGUUGGAAAGUUUCGGCGGUUGGGGAUGGACUCGCGGCUUAUCAGCUUGUUGGUGGGGUAGUGGCUUACCAAGGCUUUGACGGGUAGCCGGCCUGAGAGGGUGACCGGCGACAAUGGGACUGAGAGACGGCCCAGACUCCUACGGGAGGCAGCAGUGGGGAAUAUUGCACAAUGGGCGGAAGCCUGAGGCAGCAACGCCGCGUGCGGGAUGACGGCCUUCUGGUUGUAAACCGCAGUCGCCUGUGACGAAGCGUGAGUGACGGUAAUGGGUAAAGAAGCACCGGCUAACUACGUG
Molecule: ribosomal RNA, 468 nt
Filed under: uncultured bacterium
Lineage: Bacteria
Description: partial 16S ribosomal RNA
Rfam family: Bacterial small subunit ribosomal RNA
Source: RNAcentral